RNAcentral lists this ribosomal RNA (253 nucleotides) under uncultured bacterium. RNAcentral's name for it is "partial 16S ribosomal RNA". It matches the Rfam family "Bacterial small subunit ribosomal RNA", at positions 524 to 776 of the family's 1533-position model. The record is from RNAcentral.
GACGGGGGGUCCUAGCGUUGUUCGGAAUCAUUGGGCGUAAAGCGUGUGCAGGUGGUUUGGUAAGUUGGAUGUGAAAGCCUUGGGCUUAACCCAAGAAGUGCAUUCAAAACUAUUAAACUUGAGUAUGGAAGAGGAUCGCGGAAUUCCGCAUGUAGUGGUGAAAUACGUAGAUAUGCGGAGGAACACCGGCGGCGAAGGCGGCGAUCUGGCCCAAUACUGACACUCAUACACGAAAGCGUGGGUAGCAAACAGG